This 20-nucleotide small nuclear RNA is filed under the name Arabidopsis thaliana (thale cress). RNAcentral's name for it is "snRNA_04119". The record is from RNAcentral. Lineage: Eukaryota; Viridiplantae; Streptophyta; Magnoliopsida; Brassicales; Brassicaceae.
CUUCUGGUACUGUUUGGAGA